This 671-nucleotide ribosomal RNA is filed under the name uncultured archaeon. RNAcentral's name for it is "bacterial SSU rRNA". It matches the Rfam family "Archaeal small subunit ribosomal RNA", at positions 196 to 867 of the family's 1478-position model. The record is from RNAcentral.
CGUUUGCCCAAGGAUGGGUCUGCGGCCUAUCAGGUAGUAGUGGGUGUAAUGUACCUACUAGCCUACGACGGGUACGGGUUGUGAGAGCAAGAGCCCGGAGAUGGAUUCUGAGACAUGAAUCCAGGCCCUACGGGGCGCAGCAGGCGCGAAAACUUUACAAUGCGGGAAACCGUGAUAAGGGGACACCGAGUGCCAGCAUCCUAUGCUGGCUGUCCGGGUGUGUAAAAUACACCUGUUAGCAAGGGCCGGGCAAGACCGGUGCCAGCCGCCGCGGUAACACCGGCGGCCCGAGUGGUGAUCGUGAUUAUUGGGUCUAAAGGGUCCGUAGCCGGUUUGGUCAGUCCUCCGGGAAAUCUGACAGCUCAACUGUUAGGCUUUCGGAGGAUACUGCCAGACUUGGAACCGGGAGAGGUAAGAGGUACUACAGGGGUAGGAGUGAAAUCUUGUAAUCCCUGUGGGACCACCUGUGGCGAAGGCGUCUUACCAGAACGGGUUCGACGGUGAGGGACGAAAGCUGGGGGCACGAACCGGAUUAGAUACCCGGGUAGUCCCAGCCGUAAACGAUGCUCGCUAGGUGUCAGGCAUGGCGCGACCGUGUCUGGUGCCGCAGGGAAGCCGUGAAGCGAGCCACCUGGGAAGUACGGCCGCAAGGCUGAAACUUAAAGGAAUUG